This 90-nucleotide transfer RNA is filed under the name Shewanella hanedai. RNAcentral describes it as "Selenocysteine transfer RNA". It matches the Rfam family "Selenocysteine transfer RNA". The record is from RNAcentral. Lineage: Bacteria; Pseudomonadati; Pseudomonadota; Gammaproteobacteria; Alteromonadales; Shewanellaceae.
GAAGAACGUCGUUUCCGGUGAAACGUCUGGACUUCAAAUCCAGGUGGGGCUGCCAGCAGUCCCGGGUAGGUUCAACUCCUAUGUUCUUCC